Molecule: long non-coding RNA, 1491 nt
Organism: Acipenser ruthenus (sterlet)
Lineage: Eukaryota; Metazoa; Chordata; Actinopteri; Acipenseriformes; Acipenseridae
Exons: 4
Source: RefSeq, a predicted model, not a curated record
UUUUGUUGGAAAUAGAAAAAUGCUCUUCAAGGACAGGGCUUUUUACAAUUUUCUUUUCACUGAAAUACCCCCAUACAGUCACGGUAUAUAGCCUAUUGUAUGUACCGCUGUUUAUAUAAAUUGACCUACCAUGCACUGAAUUUGUACCUAGGGCGUAACAAAAUUAAAACACAGAAUCAUAUAGAAAGGUAGUCGUUUCCCUUUCAACUCAAGACUGUAAGAAAGUGCUAGAAACUUCCACAAGCAUCAGCGGCUCGCACGCACGCACAUCCGGCUAUGAAGCUGCUCCUCUGGUUCUGCAAGGGAAUGUUCUGGGCAUCUUGACGUCAACAAGUCACGGCACUGGAUGUAUAAAAGCAGGGCGAGCCACAUCAGCGCUCUCCUUUUCAUCUGAUCUUCUAAGACUGCAAGAGGGUUAGUGAAACUGGUUUCUACGACAUUCUUGGUGUGAUGCCCAGUGUGUUUCUGGAAGAAUUGAAGAAGGCGUACAAAAAACUGACUGUGAAAUACCACCCUGACAAAACUCAUACGUGUUUCUCAGGCCUACAGCGUUUUGUCAGACCCAAAGAAACGAGACCUUUAUCAGCAGGGAGGGGAACAGGCUAUCAAAGGAGGAAUGAGAAGAGGGAGGUUCUCCUCCCCCCGCUCCAGGGGUGGAUGCUGGAUAAUCAGGAAGAGGAGAGGUGACUUAUCCCUGACAGGCAAGAAUGCUGUGCACCAGCUGCAGUGCCGACUCCAGAGGAGAUGCAAGCGAGCAGCAGCAGCACAUUUUCAGAAAAUGACUUAUUAUUAUUAUUAUUAUGGUUUUCAUUAUGAUUGCAAUUAUGAUUAUGAUAAUAAUUACAAUUAUGAUUAUGGUUAUGAUUAUAAGAUUAUAAUAAUGAUUGUAAUUCUGAUUAUGAUUGUAAUUAUGAUUAUGAUUGUAAUCGUGAUUAUGAUUGUAAUUCUGAUUCUGAUUGUAAUUGUGAUUAUGAUUGUAAUUGUGAUUAUGAUUGUAAUUAUGAUUAUGAAUAUAAUUAUGAUUAUGAUUGUGAUUAUGAUUAUGGAUGUAAUUAUGAUUAUGAUUAGUUAUGAUUGCAAUUAUGAUUGUGAUUACAAUAAUAAUAAUAAUUGCAAGUUGAAUUUGGGCAGCAGUGUGGAGUAGUGGUUAGGGCUCUGGACUCUUGACCGGAGGAUCGUGGGUUCAAUCCCACGUAGGGGACACUGCUGCUGUACCCUUGAGCAAGGUACUUUACCUAGAUUGCUCCAGUAAAAAAAACAACUGUAUAAAUGGGUAAUUGUAUGUGACAUAAUGAAUAAAAAUAAAUAAAACUAAUGUAAUAUCUUGUAACAAUUGGAAGAGGGCAUCUGUUAAGAAAUAAAUAAUAAUUAGAAUUGACUGAGUUUUUAUAUUUUUACUGAUAUAGUGUCAAAACAAACUGUUUGAAUAUCUUUCUUACUUUUGUACCAUCUCACUUCACUCAAUUUGAUAAUAUUAUAGACUAUAUAACA